AACGCACCUUGCGCUCCUUGGUAUUCCGAGGAGCAUGCCUGUUUGAGUGUCAUGGAAUCAUCAACUCUCUUCCUUCUUUGCUGAAGGGAUUGAGCUUGGACUUGGAGGUGUAUGCUGGCCUUUUUUGGGUCAGCUCCUCUUGAAUGCAUUAGCUUGAACCUUUGCUGUAUCGGCUGUUCGGUGUGAUAAUUGUCUACGCCGUCACCGUGAAGCAUUACACUUCUUGUGUGGGGCUCAGCUUAUAACCGUCCUGUAGAAGGGACAACAUCAUAUUGACCUCUGACCUCAAAUCAGGUAGGAUUACCCGCUGAACUUAA
This 317-nucleotide ribosomal RNA is filed under the name uncultured fungus. RNAcentral's name for it is "eukaryotic LSU rRNA". The stretch from base 1 to 52 matches the Rfam family "5.8S ribosomal RNA", at positions 103 to 154 of the family's 154-position model. Lineage: Eukaryota; Fungi. The record is from RNAcentral.